RNAcentral lists this ribosomal RNA (417 nucleotides) under uncultured bacterium. Its description in RNAcentral is "bacterial SSU rRNA". It matches the Rfam family "Bacterial small subunit ribosomal RNA", at positions 359 to 773 of the family's 1533-position model. The record is from RNAcentral.
GAAUAUUGGGCAAUGGAGGCAACUCUGACCCAGCCAUGCCGCGUGGAGGAUGAAGGUCCUCUGGAUUGUAAACUUCUUUUAUCUGGGAAGAAACCCAUGGUUUCUACUGUGGUUGACGGUACCAGCUGAAUAAGCACCGGCUAACUCCGUGCCAGCAGCCGCGGUAAUACGGAGGGUGCAAGCGUUAUCCGGAUUCACUGGGUUUAAAGGGUGCGUAGGUGGGUAGGUAAGUCAGUGGUGAAAUCCCCGAGCUUAACUUGGGAACAGCCGUUGAUACUAUUUAUCUUGAAUAUCGAGUAGGUAAGCGGAAUAUGUCAUGUAGCGGUGAAAUGCUUAGAUAUGACAUAGAACACCAAUUGCGAAGGCAGCUUACUUCAAGAUUAUUGACACUGAGGCACGAAAGCGUGGGGAUCAAAC